UACGUAGGUGGCAAGCGUUGUCCGGAUUUACUGGGCGUAAAGUGUGCGCAGGCGGCGCUGCAAGUCGAGUGUGAAAUCCCCGAGCUUAACUUGGGAAUUGCGCUCGAAACUACGGCGCUGGAGUAUGGCAGAGGAAGGUGGAAUUCCACGUGUAGCGGUGAAAUGCAUAGAGAUGUGGAGGAACACCGAUGGCGAAGGCAGCCUUCUGGGCCAAUACUGACGCUCAUGCACGAAAGCGUGGGGAGCAAACAGG
Molecule: ribosomal RNA, 253 nt
Filed under: uncultured bacterium
Lineage: Bacteria
Description: partial 16S ribosomal RNA
Rfam family: Bacterial small subunit ribosomal RNA
Source: RNAcentral